GUGGGGAAUCUUCCGCAAUGGACGAAAGUCUGACGGAGCAACGCCGCGUGAGUGAUGACGGUCUUCGGAUUGUAAAGCUCUGUUAAUCGGGACGAAAGAGCUCUGUGUGAAUAAUGCAGAGAAGUGACGGUACCGGAAUAGAAAGCCACGGCUAACUACGUGCCAGCAGCCGCGGUAAUACGUAGGUGGCAAGCGUUGUCCGGAAUUAUUGGGCGUAAAGCGCGCGCAGGCGGGUUUUUAAGUCUGUCUUAAAAGUUCGGGGCUUAACCCCGUGAGGGGAUGGAAACUGGAAACCUAGAGUAUCGGAGAGGAAAGCGGAAUUCCUAGUGUAGCGGUGAAAUGCGUAGAUAUUAGGAAGAACACCAGUGGCGAAGGCGGCUUUCUGGACGAAAACUGACGCUGAGGCGCGAAAGCCAGGGGAGCAAACGGGAUUAGAUACCCGAGUAGUCC
This 450-nucleotide ribosomal RNA is filed under the name uncultured bacterium. RNAcentral's name for it is "partial 16S ribosomal RNA". It matches the Rfam family "Bacterial small subunit ribosomal RNA", at positions 354 to 796 of the family's 1533-position model. The record is from RNAcentral.